GGCGGGACCAAUGGGAAGGUUUACAAAGUGUCAAUCACCCUAAGGCAGGACCAAGGGGAGCGUUUACAAAGUGUCCAUCACCCGAAGGAGGGACCAAUGGGAAGGUUUACAAAGUGUCAAUCACCCGAAGGCGGGACCAAUGGGAAGGUUUACAAAGUGUCAAUCACCCUAAGGCAGGACCAAGGGGAGCGUUUACAAAGUGUCCAUCACCCGAAGGAGGGACCAAUGGGAAGGUUUACAAAGUGUCAAUCACCCGAGGGCGGGACCAAUGGGAAGGUUUACAAAGUGUCCAUCAUCUGAAGGCGGGACCAAUGGGAAGGUUGACAAAGUGUCAAUCACCCGAGGGCAGGACCAAUGGGAAGGUUUACAAAGUGUCCAUCAUCUGAAGGCGGGACCAAUGGGAAGGUUUACAAAGUGUCAAUCACCAGAAGGCGGGACUAAUGGGAAGGUUUACAAAGUGUCCAUCAUCCGAAGGCGGGACCAAUGGGAACGUUUACAAAGUGUCAAUCACCUGAAGGCGGGACCAAUGGGAACGUUUACAAGGUGUCAAUCACCUGAAGGCGGGACCAAUGGGAACGUUGACAAGGUGACAAUCACCUGAAGGCGGGACCAAUGGGAUCGUUUACAAGGUGUCAAUCACCUGAAGGCCGGACCAAUGGGAACGUUGACAAGGUGUCAAUCACCUGAAGGCGGGACCAAUGGGAAAGUUUAC
Molecule: long non-coding RNA, 712 nt
Filed under: Equus caballus (horse)
Lineage: Eukaryota; Metazoa; Chordata; Mammalia; Perissodactyla; Equidae
Description: lncRNA (ENSECAG00000058552.1)
Source: RNAcentral